UACGUAGGGUGCAAGCGUUAAUCGGAAUUACUGGGCGUAAAGCGUGCGCAGGCGGUUAUGUAAGACAGUUGUGAAAUCCCCGGGCUCAACCUGGGAACUGCAUCUGUGACUGCAUAGCUAGAGUACGGUAGAGGGGGAUGGAAUUCCGCGUGUAGCAGUGAAAUGCGUAGAUAUGCGGAGGAACACCGAUGGCGAAGGCAAUCCCCUGGACCUGUACUGACGCUCAUGCACGAAAGACGUGGGGGAGCAAACGAGGAUUA
RNAcentral lists this ribosomal RNA (260 nucleotides) under uncultured bacterium. RNAcentral's name for it is "partial 16S ribosomal RNA". It matches the Rfam family "Bacterial small subunit ribosomal RNA", at positions 524 to 780 of the family's 1533-position model. The record is from RNAcentral.